RNAcentral lists this small nuclear RNA (187 nucleotides) under Macaca fascicularis (crab-eating macaque). Its description in RNAcentral is "U2 spliceosomal RNA (ENSMFAG00000050514.1)". It matches the Rfam family "U2 spliceosomal RNA". Rfam says of the family: U2 is a small nuclear RNA (snRNA) component of the spliceosome (involved in pre-mRNA splicing). Complementary binding between U2 snRNA (in an area lying towards the 5' end but 3' to hairpin I) and the branchpoint sequence (BPS) of the intron results the bulging out of an unpaired adenosine, on the BPS, which initiates a nucleophilic attack at the intronic 5' splice site, thus starting the first of two transesterification reactions that mediate splicing. Lineage: Eukaryota; Metazoa; Chordata; Mammalia; Primates; Cercopithecidae. The record is from Rfam by way of RNAcentral.
AUCGCUCGGCCUUUGGCUAAGAUCAAGUGUAGUAUCUGUUCUUAUCAGUUUAAUAUCUGAUACGUCCUCUAUCCGAGGACAAUAUAUUAAAUGGAUUUUUGGAGCAGGGAGAUGGAAUAGGAGCUUGCUCCGUCCACUCCACGCAUCGACCUGGUAUUGCAGUACCUCCAGGAACGGUGCACCACCU